GGGUUGUGAGGUUAAGCGACUAAGCGUACACGGUGGAUGCCCUGGCAGUCAGAGGCGAUGAAGGACGUGCUAAUCUGCGAAAAGCGUCGGUAAGGUGAUAUGAACCGUUAUAGCCGGCGAUGUCCGAAUGGGGAAACCCAGUGCAAUUCGUUGCACUAUCGUUAACUGAAUACAUAGGUUAACGAGGCGAACCGGGGGAACUGAAACAUCUAAGUACCCCGAGGAAAAGAAAUCAACCGAGAUUCCCCCAGUAGCGGCGAGCGAACGGGGAGCAGCCCAGAGUCUGAAUCAGCUUGUGUGUUAGUGGAACGAUCUGGAAAGUCCGACGGUACAGGGUGAUAGUCCCGUACACCAAAAUGCACAGGCUGUGAACUCGAAGAGUAGGGCGGGACACGUGGUAUCCUGUCUGAAUAUGGGGGGACCAUCCUCCAAGGCUAAAUACUCCUGACUGACCGAUAGUGAACCAGUACCGUGAGGGAAAGGCGAAAAGAACCCCGGCGAGGGGAGUGAAAAAGAACCUGAAACCGUGUACGUACAAGCAGUGGGAGCACCUUCGGGUGUGACUGCGUACCUUUUGUAUAAUGGGUCAGCGACUUAUAUUCUGUAGCAAGGUUAACCGUAUAGGGGAGCCGCAGGGAAACCGAGUCUUAACUGGGCGUUAAGUUGCAGGGUAUAGACCCGAAACCCGGUGAUCUAGCCAUGGGCAGGUUGAAGGUUGGGUAACACUAACUGGAGGACCGAACCGACUAAUGUUGAAAAAUUAGCGGAUGACUUGUGGCUGGGGGUGAAAGGCCAAUCAAACCGGGAGAUAGCUGGUUCUCCCCGAAAGCUAUUUAGGUAGCGCCUCGUGAAUUCAUCUUCGGGGGUAGAGCACUGUUUCGGCUAGGGGGUCAUCCCGACUUACCAACCCGAUGCAAACUACGAAUACCGAAGAAUGUUAUCACGGGAGACACACGGCGGGUGCUAACGUCCGUCGUGAAGAGGGAAACAACCCAGACCGCCAGCUAAGGUCCCAAAGUCAUGGUUAAGUGGGAAACGAUGUGGGAAGGCACAGACAGCCAGGAUGUUGGCUUAGAAGCAGCCAUCAUUUAAAGAAAGCGUAAUAGCUCACUGGUCGAGUCGGCCUGCGCGGAAGAUGUAACGGGGCUAAACCAUGCACCGAAGCUGCGGCAGCGACACUAUGUGUUGUUGGGUAGGGGAGCGUUCUGUAAGCCUGCGAAGGUGACCUGUGAGGGUUGCUGGAGGUAUCAGAAGUGCGAAUGCUGACAUAAGUAACGAUAAAGCGGGUGAAAAGCCCGCUCGCCGGAAGACCAAGGGUUCCUGUCCAACGUUAAUCGGGGCAGGGUGAGUCGACCCCUAAGGCGAGGCCGAAAGGCGUAGUCGAUGGGAAACAGGUUAAUAUUCCUGUACUUGGUGUUACUGCGAAGGGGGGACGGAGAAGGCUAUGUUAGCCGGGCGACGGUUGUCCCGGUUUAAGCAUGUAGGCUGGUUGUCCAGGCAAAUCCGGAUAAUCAAGGCUGAGGUGUGAUGACGAGGCACUACGGUGCUGAAGUAACAAAUGCCCUGCUUCCAGGAAAAGCCUCUAAGCAUCAGGUAACAUCAAAUCGUACCCCAA
Molecule: ribosomal RNA, 1615 nt
Filed under: Klebsiella pneumoniae
Lineage: Bacteria; Pseudomonadati; Pseudomonadota; Gammaproteobacteria; Enterobacterales; Enterobacteriaceae
Description: bacterial LSU rRNA
Rfam family: Bacterial large subunit ribosomal RNA
Source: RNAcentral